Molecule: ribosomal RNA, 701 nt
Filed under: Inocybe sindonia
Lineage: Eukaryota; Fungi; Basidiomycota; Agaricomycetes; Agaricales; Inocybaceae
Description: eukaryotic LSU rRNA
Rfam family: 5.8S ribosomal RNA (bases 180-333)
Source: RNAcentral
UUUCUCCAACCUGUGCACAUUUUGUAGACCCUGGAGAUUUUAUGAAUUUUGAUUCGAUUCGGGACUGCUGAUGCUUCCCUUUGUUGAAGCCGGCUUUGCCUUGCACCUCCAGGUCUAUGUCAUUUUUCACAACCUCUUUUUAAAAAAACAUGUUUGGAAAAAAUAUAAAUGAAAUAUACAACUUUCAGCAACGGAUCUCUUGGCUCUCGCAUCGAUGAAGAACGCAGCGAAAUGCGAUAAGUAAUGUGAAUUGCAGAAUUCAGUGAAUCAUCGAAUCUUUGAACGCAUCUUGCGCUCCUUGGUAUUCCGAGGAGCAUGCCUGUUUGAGUGUCAUUUAACUUCUCAACCACAUCAGAUGUAUUUUUGAUGUGGCUUGGAUUUGGGGGUCGUUUGCAGGCUUUUCUGUGAAAAGAAAGGUCGGCUCCCCUGAAAAGUAUUAGUGGUAUCUGAGCUACUGCUAUAGGUGUGAUAAUUAUCUAUGCCUUUGGUAUGCUGCAUGAAACAGAUUGCGCUGCUUAUUAACUGAACUUGAUAAAUUUGACCUCAAAUCAGGUAGGACUACCCGCUGAACUUAAGCAUAUCAAUAAGCGGAGGAAAAGAAACUAACAAGGAUUCCCCUAGUAACUGCGAGUGAAGCGGGAAGAGCUCAAAUUUGAAAUCUGGCGGUUCUUGAACUGUCCGAGUGUAAUCUAGAGAACGUA